GAUGAACGCUAGCUACAGGCUUAACACAUGCAAGUCGAGGGGAAACGAUAUUGGAAGCUUGCUUCCGAUAGGCGUCGACCGGCGCACGGGUGAGUAACGCGUAUCCAACCUGCCCACCACUUGGGGAUAACCUUGCGAAAGUAAGACUAAUACCCAAUGACGUCCAUAGAAGACAUCUGAAAUGGAUUAAAGAUUUAUCGGUGAUGGAUGGGGAUGCGUCUGAUUAGCUUGUUGGCGGGGUAACGGCCCACCAAGGCGACGAUCAGUAGGGGCUCUGAGAGGAAGGUCCCCCACAUUGGAACGGAGACACGGUCCAAACUCCUACGGGAGGCAGCAGUGAGGAAUAUUGGUCAAUGGGCGAGAGCCUGAACCAGCCAAGUAGCGUGCAGGAUGACGGCCCUAUGGGUUGUAAACUGCUUUUAUAAGGGAAUAAAGUGAGCCUCGUGAGGCUUUUUGCAUGUACCUUAUGAAUAAGGACCGGCUAAUUCCGUGCCAGCCGCCGCGGUAA
This 508-nucleotide ribosomal RNA is filed under the name uncultured bacterium. RNAcentral's name for it is "partial 16S ribosomal RNA". It matches the Rfam family "Bacterial small subunit ribosomal RNA", at positions 28 to 523 of the family's 1533-position model. The record is from RNAcentral.